GCGGAGGGAUCAUUAACGAGUUCCAUUCUCCUUAAUACACCCGUGAACGUUUCUUCAACUGUUCGUUGCUUCGGCGGGCGGCCCCGGGGAGGGGCCGCAGCCCGCAAGGGCGCCCGCCGGCGGCAGCGCAGCACAACUCUUGCGAUUUAGGCCCCUCUGAGAAGACACUAAAUGAGUCAAAACUUUCAACAACGGAUCUCUUGGUUCUGGCAUCGAUGAAGAACGCAGCGAAAUGCGAUAAGUAAUGUGAAUUGCAGAACUCAGCGAAUCAUCGAAUCUUUGAACGCACAUUGCGCCCGCCGGCAUUCCGGCGGGCAUGCCUGUUCGAGCGUCAUUUCAACCCUCGAGCCCUGCUCGGUGUUGGGGCCCCGCGGCCGCCGCGGGCCCUGAAAAGAAGUGGCGGGCGCGCCUGGACCCGUAGCGCAGUAAUACACCUCGCUCGCGGCGUCCCGGCGCGUGCCGGCCGUAAAACCCCUUUAUCUCAAGGUUGACCUCGGAUCAG
RNAcentral lists this ribosomal RNA (502 nucleotides) under fungal endophyte. RNAcentral describes it as "eukaryotic LSU rRNA". The stretch from base 181 to 334 matches the Rfam family "5.8S ribosomal RNA". The record is from RNAcentral. Lineage: Eukaryota; Fungi.